GAAGAAUAAGUCACUGCUAACUUCGUGCCAGCAGCAGCGGUAAUACGAAGGUGGCGAGCGUUACCCGGAUUGAUUGGGCGUAAAGAGUUCGUAGACGGUUUAAAAAGUUCUUGGUCAAAUCUUGUGGCUCAACUUCAAGACUGCCAAGAAGACUUUUAGACUAGAGACUGGGAGAGGCAAGCGGAAUUGCCGGUGUAGUAGUAAAAUGCGUUGAUAUCGGCAGGAACACCAAAAGCGAAGGCAGCUUGCUAGUACAGUUCUGACGUUGAGGAACGAAAGCGUGGGUAGCGAAUGGGAUUAGAUACCCCAGUAGUCCACGCCGUAAACUAUGGGCACUAAGCAUUGGAAGUAUCGACCCUUUCAGUGCUGCUUAACUAAGCUAACGCCUUAAGUGCCCCGCCUGGGAAGUACGGCCGCAAGGCUAAAACUCAAAGGAAUUGACGGGAGCCCGCACAAGCGGUGGAGCAUGUGGUUUAAUUCGACAAUAAGCGAGGAACCUUACCCAGACUUGACAUAUAGCUGCACGCUCUAGGAAACUAGAGCUCCUUCGAGGGUGCUAUACAGGUGCUGCAUGGUUGUCGUCAGCUCGUGUCGUGAGAUGUUGGGUUAAGUCCCGCAACGAGCGCAACCCUUAUCAUUAGUUGCUACGCAAGGGCACUCUAAUGAGACUGCCGGUGACAAACCGGAGGAAGGUGGGGAUGACGUCAAGUCCUCAUGGCCCUUAUGGGUAGGGCUUCACACGUCAUACAAUGGUCGGUACAGAGGGUUGCCAAGCCGCGAGGUGGAGCCAAUCCCAGAAAGCCGAUCGUAGUCCGGAUUGUUCUCUGCAACUCGAGAGCAUGAAGUCGGAAUCGCUAGUAAUCGCGGAUCAGCACGCUGCGGUGAAUACGUUCCCGGGCCUUGUACACACCGCCCG
Molecule: ribosomal RNA, 916 nt
Filed under: uncultured bacterium
Lineage: Bacteria
Description: bacterial SSU rRNA
Rfam family: Bacterial small subunit ribosomal RNA
Source: RNAcentral